Ficedula albicollis (Collared flycatcher) is the source of this 5068-nucleotide long non-coding RNA. NCBI's taxonomy places the organism in Eukaryota, Metazoa, Chordata, Aves, Passeriformes, Muscicapidae. The record is from Ensembl.
UUAGAUUUCUCCAGUCCUUGGAAGAGUGCUGCAGUUAUUCUCAGCAAGGAAUGCUGAUUUGUUAUGGACCAAAUAUUGCUUUGCUCCUGCUUUCCUUCACCAAUGUCCAUCUGUCUGACCUGUCUCUAUGUAAGAGCCUUUUCCUCCCUGCACAGACAGGCAAAUCAGUGCAAGACUACAGGGUCCCAAGGAGUUAUGAUGCAGAGUGUUUAUCUCCAUUCCUGAUUAUUCUGCAAGUUCCGAGACAAUUUGUUCCACAAACAACCGCAAGAUGCCUGGUGCUCUCAGUCCCCCAAGUCCUCUAAAAUAGAGACAAAGCAGAGGUAGUUGUUACAACUGACCUAAUCCUGAGUGGCCACCAGAAGAGACAGUGGACUGCUUAUUAUCUCUCACGACUCCAUCCUGAUGACUUUGGCAUUUGUGUGAAACCACAGAGUGGUAGAUGCAAGAGGCAGGAUUGCAAGCUCUGAAGUUGGCUUUGGGAAUAAAUUGUGAGAAGACAUGUUUUCUUCUGAGCCACUUGUUUUGUACUAGCAAGAGAAGGCAGCCUCCUUUAUUGCUCAAUAAAGGACAGCUCUGCAGUGAAGUGUGUGUCUUGACAGAUGAAAAAUAUGCCUUGGCAAGGAAUUGCUCCAAUGAGAUGGGUGUAGGGAAGGCAUUCCCAUCACCUCACGGACUUAGGGGCAUAAUGGCAGCUUGGACUGUGCAAAUCACUUUAUCCAACAGAUGAAGCCCUAAAAUGUUAUUGGAGCAUCUGAAAAAGGAAGACAGUCUCUAAACUCAGGAGAGAUAAAAGUGUUUUUCCAAAGCACAACAAAGCAAAAGUUUUUUUCUGACCCACACUUGUCUUCCUGAAGUAGCCAGUCUGAAACCUUGUGCACAUGGCUUCUAAAAGCCCUGAAAUGUCAGUGCCUCCUGGUGUGUGGAGAUGAAACAGAACAUUAAUUUGGUAGUUUUUAAGAGUCUGGCAUGGUGUCAAAAAUGAUCAUCAGUGUGUUAUGAGGGAAAAUUUGUGUUUGCUGUGAUCUAAUCUCUUCUGCUCAACAGUCCAGUGAUGUCAUUUAAGAGAUGAGAGGAAAUGAAGAGUGUUUGGUCUUUGUGCUGAUAUUGUUGGGGUAGAGUUAAUUUUCUUCUCAAUAGGUAGUGUGGGUCUGUGUUUUGGAUUUGUUCUGGCAACAGCUCUGAAAAUUCAGGGAUGUUUCACUUAUCGUUGAGCUGUUCUUAUACAGAGUCAAGGCCUCUCCUGCUUCUCACACCACUCCACCAGCGAGGAGGCUGGGGGUGCACAAGGAGUUGGGAAGGCACACAGCCAGGACAGCUGACCCCAGCUGACCAGUGGGAUAUUCCAGACCAUAUGGCAUUGUGCUCAGCACAUCAAGCUGGAGGAAGAAGGAAGGGUUGCAUGAUGUUUGCCUUCCCAAGGCACCAUUACACAUGAUGGAGCCCUCCAUUCCUGGGGAAGGCUGGACACCUGCCCAUGGGAAGUGAAUUAAUUACUUGUUUGGUUUUGCUUGUAUACACAUGGCUUUUGCUUUCCCUAUUAAACUGUCUUUAUCUCAACCCACAAGUUUUCUCACUUUUACCCUUCUGAUUCUCUCCCCCAUGCCACUGUGAGGGAUUGAGCAGGUGCCUCUGUCUGGCUGAGUUGCCAGCUGGUGUAAACCAUGAUAGUCUCAGAUCCAAAAAGAUAUUUAAUCUAAGAAUUAGGAGGACAAGUAACAGGGUCAAAAAAAAAAUUAUGUAUAGGUUCUGUAUAUUCCAGUUUUCAAAAGAAUAUAAUUUUACAUCUUGAUGAUUUGAGAUUUUUAAUCUCCUCCAAAAUUCCUUGCUUCAGUAUUGUAUCUAUUUGUACUUUUUGAAUGGUCCCUGUUGAUGUUUCACAACAGUAGAAAGCUGGUCUUUGCAGAAAGUAGAAGCAUCUGGAUAUGGAACACUAUUAAAUAUACAGGACAGCAGAAGCUGGAUGCACUCUGCUUAUUUUCAGUGCUGCUCCAUUUCAUUUGAGGCCAUGUACUUAGCUGAGUCUGGAAAUCUGUUAUCUGGGGGCUGCACAAGCACAAGACUCCUGUUCUGAAUGGCUGCUAGACUGCAAUCUUUCUGUCUAAACAAAAAGCUGGAGAUAAACAUGGAGGGAAAGGACCAGUUUUAGAGAUGUGCAGAGCUGGGCAAGUCUGAUCCUUGCUGUGGUGAUUUGCCAACUUGGUCAUGCUGCUUCCUCAAAUUAUCCAGGGAGCAGAGCAGUUACCGGUCUCUGCCAGGGUACACACACUGCAGCUGCACACAGAAGUGCAACAAGUCAGGCAGGACACAGGGAGAAAACAGCAGUGCUUAAUUUGAACUGACAGCAUUUGAUGCAACACAUCAGGAGCUGUAAAGGGACAGGAGGCAUUUCUCUUUAGCUGGACUGCUGAUGUCAACUUGGAUAGCAGAUGCUCCAGCUAGAUUACAGAGGCAGGAUAGAAAAGGUCUCACUUUCUCACAGGGUCUACCUGUUAAUCUUACUGUUUUCCUCUAGCUUUCUCAGCUUUCUCUUACAUUACACUGACAUCUCUGAUUUUUGUACAGAAUAAGUGAAAAUGUGUGGUCCUAGUUCUGCAUCACUUUUCCUACAGAGGGGCAGGAUUGGCAAGAAAUGGUGAUUAAAUAUUUGCACUUUCUCGCUUUCCAUUUAUUUCAGGAAUCAGCCCACAUCUGCAUACAUGCACACAUUGAAAGCUGAAGCUGAUGUGCAGUAGACAAGGUUCAUGCCAUCCUUUCAUUGUGCCUUGUGCAGUCAGAUUAUACUCAGUGGUAUGAUGCAGAAGCAUUCUGUGGGGAUCUCAGCAGUGAAAAUCCCAUCAAAUCAUUGACAAGAAUGCAUAAUCUGCAGCCCUGCAUAAACCCUGGGUCCUACAGGAAUCUAAAUCUGACCUGUACAGCAUAAGGAAUUGCUACACUUGAGAUAACCUAAAGCAACUGGAGAAGGCUCAAGUGCUGACCUUCCUCUGUUUUAGAUCCCUGCUGGCUCAACUCAAGGAAUUCUAUCCUGAUCCUGCCAAUUGAUACAUAUUCAUACUGCUUAUUGAAAGAGACAACACCCUGGCUAUUAAAUCUCGUACUUCCUGAUGGGUUUGAUGUUGCUGCUGCAGCUGUUAAGCAAAAUGUGUAAAUUUUACUUUGUUCUCUAAGAAGUUGUUUUACCAUGUUCAAGUUGCUUUUGGUAUGAUGGAUUGACUAAUCUCUGUACAUUACUAUUAUUCCAGUAGAGCCUGGAGAAAAACUUGGGUUUGGGGUGCCAAAUAGAAGGCACUGUAUGUGCAUAUUAUCUGCUGCUUGCAGCAGCUUUGUUCUUGCAAACAAAGUCUUGCAAACUUGCUCUUACAAAACACAGCACAGAGAAUGACAGGAGAAAGUGAGACCAAGAAUUCAGAGCUGUGGAAAUUACCAGUUAGCUGAGUGUUUGUUCCUGUUCUUGGUGUCUUGGGUGGCUGUUGGUUUGGUUUUUUGUUUAAAUCCGUGAAGACUGUAGUAAACGAGUAAGAGGCAGUUCCUUUGUUUCUGCUCUGUUUGUAUCAGUAUGCAGCUAUUAGUAUGAAAUGCUGCCAUUCCCUGAGCAUCCCGGCUAAACAAAAAACCUUUGGAACAAAGUGCUCAGAAAAGGCAGACAAGAAGCGUGGGCUUGGGGUGGGGAUGAGUGUGUGAACACUGGUGUUUAAUUUACACAGGUAUUUCUUCGUCCACCUAGAAAAGAGUUAAACGGCAGAAUCACCUGAUCCGCUUUUCACCUCCCGAGGUUGUUCCUUACAAUGAGAAAUAUUUUCCUGUCUGCUUUUGAAAGAAACAACUUCAAAACCUUUGUGGCCGGGGUGGCAUCAUGCUCUGCACAGCCCGGGUUCGGCUGGACCGAGAUGCAGCCACCGUCAGCGAGACAAAGGCAUGGAUAAUGAAAACGGGAACUAACCCAGGGAAUGAAGGGGACCGAGCAGCAUCUGAUGAGAGCUGAAAGGAAAACCCGGCUGGUGUUUCCGAGCACUGUGCGUUCAUCUCCACUGCGAGUGACCGGUUUCACCGCAGAUGCCAGGAGGUGAGGACGGGACCAGCAGCUCCUUGCGCAGAAGGUCCCAUGUCAGUCACAGCACAGCUUCUGGCCAAUUACAGGAGGGGAAGCGACAGAAAUGGAGUUUUUCCUAUCUCCUCCGGCAGAAUUUUGCAGAGAGAUUGGAAGUGGAGGGAAGGAGUUAAUCUCUGUGCAGCCAGGCUGUGCCUCCUCCCCGCAAUUUUCUCCUCGACUCCUCUGUUGUUGCUGCACUGUGGUGCUCGGGCUGAGAUGCCGAUGGAGCAGCUCCCUGAUUGCACUGCCCAGGCACGAACACCACCUGCUCCAAAACUCAGGCGGAUUACUUUUUAAAUUACAAAAAACCCCAAAUACUUUGGUUUUUUGUUUAAAUCCGUGAAGACUGUAGUAAACGAGUAAGAGGCAGUUCCUUUGUUUCUGCUCUGUUUGUAUCAGUAUGCAGCUAUUAGUAUGAAAUGCUGCCAUUCCCUGAGCAUCCCGGCUAAACAAAAAACCUUUGGAACAAAGUGCUCAGAAAAGGCAGACAAGAAGCGUGGGCUUGGGGUGGGGAUGAGUGUGUGAACACUGGUGUUUAAUUUACACAGGUAUUUCUUCGUCCACCUAGAAAAGAGUUAAACGGCAGAAUCACCUGAUCCGCUUUUCACCUCCCGAGGUUGUUCCUUACAAUGAGAAAUAUUUUCCUGUCUGCUUUUGAAAGAAACAACUUCAAAACCUUUGUGGCCGGGGUGGCAUCAUGCUCUGCACAGCCCGGGUUCGGCUGGACCGAGAUGCAGCCACCGUCAGCGAGACAAAGGCAUGGAUAAUGAAAACGGGAACUAACCCAGGGAAUGAAGGGGACCGAGCAGCAUCUGAUGAGAGCUGAAAGGAAAACCCGGCUGGUGUUUCCGAGCACUGUGCGUUCAUCUCCACUGCGAGUGACCGGUUUCACCGCAGAUGCCAGGAGGUGAGGACGGGACCAGCAGCUCCUUGCGCAGAAGGUCCCAUGUCAGUCACAGCACAGCUUCUGGCCAAUUA